GUAGGGUGCGAGCGUUAAUCGGGAAUUACUGGGGCGUAAAGCGUGCGCAGGCGGUUAUGUAAGACAGAUGUGAAAUCCCCCGGGGCUCAACCUGGGAACUGCAUUUGUGACUGCAUGGCUAGAGUACGGUAGAGGGGGAUGGAAUUCCGCGUGUAGCAGUGAAAUGCGUAGAUAUGCGGAGGAACACCGAUGGCGAAGGCAAUCCCCUGGACCUGUACUGACGCUCAUGCACGAAAGCGUGGGGAGCAAACAGGAUUAGAUACCCUGGUAGUCCACGCCCUAAACGAUGUCAACUGGUUGUUGGGAAUUAGUUUUCUCAGUAACGAAGCUAACGCGUGAAGUUGACCGCCUGGGGAGUACGGCCGCAAGGUUG
RNAcentral lists this ribosomal RNA (373 nucleotides) under uncultured organism. Its description in RNAcentral is "partial 16S ribosomal RNA". It matches the Rfam family "Bacterial small subunit ribosomal RNA", at positions 527 to 896 of the family's 1533-position model. The record is from RNAcentral.